GCUAUGAACAUAACAAGCCCUGCUUCCUGUCUGGGGGAGUCACACAGGAACCCAGGGACUAUGUAUAUGAGCUGCCAGACACUCCAAGACACUGAACGCUCAGCCUGAGGCACAACAAAACACACUUGUGCAGGGGAAUCCGUGCCACAUGCCGCUCUCCAGCCUGCUCUGGCUCUUCCUGGCCUCCGUCUUCUCUGGAUCCAGUGUGGCCCAGAAAGUUACUCAAGACCAGCCAACUGUAUCCAGUCAAGUGGGAGAGGAAGUCACUUUAAACUGUCGGUAUGAAACACCUUGGAACACUAACUACCUUUUUUGGUAUAAACAGCCUCCCAGUGGAGAGAUGACUUUCCUUAUUCGUCAGGACACUUCUAAAACAAAUGCAAAGGAUGGUCGCUACUCUGUAAACUCCCAUAGUGGAGAGAAAUCCCUCAGCCUCACCAUUUCAGCCUUACAGCUGAAAGAUUCUGCUACGUACUUCUGUGCUCUCCAAGAUCUCACGGUGCUUGAAGUAAUAGGAAAAGCUGAACAAAAACCCCAGAGCUCAAUAAGAGAGAGCCCCCUGCUACAGGACCCAAGCUGAAAUGCACACCUGCAGAUCCCAGACAAGAAGGGGGCGUCCUGUGGUUGCUUCAUCUGUGGUCUGGAUGAGAGGAUUUCUUUCUAAAUAAAAGCUCCUUCUAUGUCAUUUGG
This is a non-coding RNA of Phacochoerus africanus (Common warthog), 690 nucleotides long. The record is from the annotation of a RefSeq genome assembly. NCBI's taxonomy places the organism in Eukaryota, Metazoa, Chordata, Mammalia, Artiodactyla, Suidae.